Molecule: transfer RNA, 94 nt
Filed under: Halobellus salinus
Lineage: Archaea; Methanobacteriati; Methanobacteriota; Halobacteria; Halobacteriales; Haloferacaceae
Description: Halobacteriaceae archaeon CSW2.24.4 tRNA
Rfam family: tRNA
About the family: Transfer RNA (tRNA) molecules are approximately 80 nucleotides in length. Their secondary structure includes four short double-helical elements and three loops (D, anti-codon, and T loops).
Source: Rfam by way of RNAcentral
GGAAGGGUGGCUCAGUGGUAGAGCAGUUCGGCAGCAGCCGUCGUACGGUUGUGCCGACCUACGGCUUCGCGUGGUUCGAUUCCCGCCCCUUCCA